AGGGAGCUAACUCAGUUGGUUAGAGUGCCUGUCUUAUACACAGUUGGUCGUGGGUUCGAGUCCCACGCUCCCCA
This 74-nucleotide transfer RNA is filed under the name Clostridium sp. AF37-5. RNAcentral describes it as "tRNA-Ile". It matches the Rfam family "tRNA". From Rfam's summary of the family: Transfer RNA (tRNA) molecules are approximately 80 nucleotides in length. Their secondary structure includes four short double-helical elements and three loops (D, anti-codon, and T loops). Lineage: Bacteria; Bacillati; Bacillota; Clostridia; Eubacteriales; Clostridiaceae. The record is from RNAcentral.